UUACUGUUGCUCAUCCAAAAAAAGGUAGCUUGCUAGCUUAACCGCCUUGUUUACAAUUAAUCAAUCGCUGUAACGAGUUUGCGACGUGUCUUUGGAAACGUACAGAGUUCUUCAUCCCAUUUCAGGGAAAAGAACACGAGCAACGAUUCACAAAUGAGGACAGCAAUAAAUCAGAAAUUAAUUGAAAUGGGGGAACGGGAUCGAUGUUAUCAGAGAAGGGCUUGGAACACAUAACAGUGGAGGACCUGGUAGCAGAAAUCACACCAAAAGGAAGAGAUUACUGUGUGAGUGACCAUGCAUUGAAGGUGAAAAUCAUCACUCCUCAAUCAGUCAACAGUCAAUCAUCAAUCAGAAGACACUUCCUCUUGUUUCCUACCCAAUCACAGUUCCUUUCCCUUGGUUUAAAAAUUCUGUCAGUUUGCUCUAGAGCUCAAUCUUUCUGUAAAUGCCAUGUCUGUAGGUCUCUGUUUCACUCGCUCUUUGUUUAUUAACCUCUCUUUUGUUUGAGCACCUCCAUAGCACUUUGUCAUCACCUGUGAGUAUUGUUUUUGUUAUGGUGUUUGUUUGAUUGCUGGUGGGAAAAGGGGAAACCAAGACAAGUCGCCCAUGGGCAUAUACUACCCGUAGGUACUUUGUUAAAUACACUAGUUAGAACUGGGAGGACCACCCACUGUAUUUUUGGUUAGUUAGCUGUUGUUAAAGUAGGCUAGUCUAGCUUAGUUUUUUUUUAAUACUUAUUGUUUCUUUCCUUGGGUCCAGCUCAGCCCCUUUUCCUGCUCCCCCCCAUUACCGUGUGUUUCAAAUAAACCUUGCGUUUGACGGUA
Molecule: long non-coding RNA, 824 nt
Organism: Oncorhynchus masou masou (cherry salmon)
Lineage: Eukaryota; Metazoa; Chordata; Actinopteri; Salmoniformes; Salmonidae
Exons: 4
Source: RefSeq, a predicted model, not a curated record